Hyla sarda is the source of this 6706-nucleotide long non-coding RNA. RefSeq lists it as uncharacterized. Lineage: Eukaryota; Metazoa; Chordata; Amphibia; Anura; Hylidae. The transcript is spliced from 7 exons. The record is from RefSeq and is a predicted model, not a curated record.
UGUUUUCAUAUGCAGAUCUGAAAUAUUGUCUUAUAUGCAAGAGGAGGAGUGAUGGGGGUUCAGGCAAAUGCCAGGCUAUGGAUUGCAUUGCUAAAUGCUCCAUCAGAGUACAAUGGUCUCCUGUCCUUUUUUUAAGUGAUGAUGUGGGUUUAGCCUGUGCUGUAUGUAUGUAUGGGUGGCUGACUGCCACCCACCCAGAGAGUGUAUGGGAGGCUGGUUGGCUGCCAGCCUUCCUUCCAUUCCUAUGAGUAAUGUGAGUGCUCAUGAAGGAUACAUGGUUGGGUCCACCCCUUUCCCGGUUAUCCCCUCUAGGCCUUUUGGCUUAGAUCAAGUGUAAAAAAAAGAAAGGAUCUUGCGACAGAUCGCAUCCUCAGGCACGUUUUUUUUUUGUAUGAAUACUUGCACUUGGGUGAUUUUUGAGCACAUACUGAUACGUUCCCUAUCUGGGGACCAUAAAUUAAAUGGAUUUUUGAGAAAGGGAGCUGAUUUGGAAGCUUGCUUCCGUCGCCCUAUGCAUUGACCCGAUGUGGCAGCAUCUUCGGGUAGUGAACAGUGCACCACCCCAUUCCAGUGUUAAACAAGAAAGAUUCUCAUUUAAUCCUCCGUGGGUGAGAAUUUGAGUUUGAGAAUUGGAGACCAAAAUGAUGAGAUGCACUGACUGGUUUAUGAACGUCUAUUCAUUUAGCGUUUUAAUGACCAUGUUUGCACACUGAUUGGUGUAAAAAAAUAAAACUAAAUAAUAAUAAUCUAGCACACCUGUGCAGGUUUGACAUGACAUGAUAGGUAGCUGUCUUGUGGGUAGUGCUGAAUCCUGUUAAAUGACGUGAGGGUCUCAUGCCUAUACACAAAGGUGUGUCAUUGCUGUUGCUUGACCAUGCAUUGGUUUCUGUGGUCAGUGAAUGAUAAAAACAAAAUUUACCAUCCAUUGAUGGAUGGGAAAUCCGCCAUGAGGCAUUUGUUUUUAGAAACUGCUGCUCACAACCAAUGUUGCAAUGGAGUGUCUCCAUCUGCUGGUGGUAUUGGAAAGGCAUUAGUGCUAUGACAGGUUCUGAAGCAGAAGAAGAAGACGGAAAAAAAUAUAUAUAAAAAGAAAGAGAGAGAGAGACUGACUUAGUGAGCAAGUGAGUGAGAGAGUGAGAGUGAGUGAGAGAGAAUAAGUGAGUGAGUGAUUGAGUGAGUGAGUGAGUGAGAACAAAUGAGUUAAAGCAAGUGAGUGAGUGAGAUCGAAUGAAUGAAAGUCUGAAUGACAGAAAGAAAAAAGGAUGAAGAAAGAAGCAUGAAGAAAAAAAAUGUAUAUGGAGUUGCAGACAUGAGUGCAAUCUACAAAGCCGUUGAGGCUGAUCCUCAUGGGAGGAUUAUUGCACCUGGACCCUUAACACUUUUAAAAUGCCAUUCAAUGCCACUUCUAGGGCUAGAUGUAAACUGCAGAUGACCAUGUUGUGGUAGUUACCAUGGAUACCCAAGUGAUGUGUGAGCUAACACAUAGGCCCAACAGAUUCCAAGAAGGCCAGAAUCACCAGCGGCACCACCAUCGGUUGUCAGGUUACCCGGAUUCAGCAAAUACCAGAGUCCAAAAUGAUGCAGGUUUAUACUGUUAAUUUACAGUUUAUCGUUACAGUUGGUGUUAUUCCAUGUCGGAAGGGACGCAGCUACAGCCAGUGGGGUAACUAGAGACAGGCAGGCAGCUAUGUGCAACAAAGGUAGGCGUGUUGUUUUCAUAUGCAGAUCUGAAAUAUUGUCUUAUAUGCAAGAGGAGGAGUGAUGGGGGUUCAGGCAAAAGCCAGGCUAUGGAUUGCAUUGCUAAAUGCUCCAUCAGAGUGCAAUGGUCUCCUGUCCUUUUUUUAAGUGAUGAUGUGGGUUUAGCCUGUGCUGUAUGUAUGUAUGUAUGGGUGGCUGACUGCCACCCACCCAGAGAGUGUAUGGGAGGCUGGUUGGCUGCCAGCCUUCCUUCCAUUCCUAUGAGUAAUGUGAGUGCUCUUGAAGGGGACAUGGUCGGGUCCACCCCUUUCCCGGUUAUCCCCUCUAGGCCUUUUGGCUUAGAUCAAGUGUAAAAAAAAGAAAGGAUCUUGCGACAGAUCGCAUCCUCAGGCACGUUUUUUUUGUGUGAAUACUUGCACUUGGGUGACUUGUGAGCACAUACUGAUACGUUCCCUAUUUGGGGACCAUAAAUUAAAUGGAUUUUUGAGAAAGGGAGCUGAUUUGGAAGCUUGCUUCCGUCGCCCUAUGCAUUGACCCGAUGUGGCAGUAUCUUCGGGAAGUGAACAGUGCACCACCCCAUUCCAGUGUUAAACAAGAAAGAUUCUCAUUUAAUCCUCCGUGGGUGAGAAUUUGAGUUUGAGAAUUGGAGACCAAAAUGAUGAGUUCCACUGACUGGUUUAUGAACGUUUAUUCAUUUAGCGUUUUAAUGACCAUGUUUGCACACUGAUUGGUGUAAAAAAAUAAAAUAAAACUAAAUAAUAAUAAUCUAGCACACCUGUGCAGGUUUGACAUGACAUGACAGGUAGCUGUCUUGUGGGUAGUGCUGAAUCCUGUUAAAUGACGUGAGGGUCUCAUGCCUAUACACAAGGGUGUGUCAUUGCUGUUGCUUGACCAUGCAUUGGUUUCUGUGGUCAGUGAAUGAUAAAAACAAAAUUUACCAUCCAUUGAUGGAUGGGAAAUCCGCCAUGAGGCAUUUGUUUUUAGAAACUGCUGCUCACAACCAAUGUUGCAAUGGAGUGUCUCCAUCUGCUGGUGGCAUUGGAAAGGCAUUAGUGCUAUGACAGGGUCUGAAGAAGAAGAAGAAGACAGAAAAAAAUAUAUAUAAAAAGAAAAAGAGAGAGAGAGAGAGAGAGAGAGAGAGAGACUGACUUAGUGAGCGAGUGAUUGUGAGAGUGAGAGUGAGUGAGAGUGAAUAAGUGAGUGAGUGAUUGAGUGAGUGAGUGAGUGAGUGAGAACAAAUGAGUUAAAGCAAGUGAGUGAGUAAGAUCGAAUGAAUGAAAGUCUGAAUGACAGAAAGAAAAAAGGAUGAAGAAAGAAGCAUGAAGAAAAAAAAAUGUAUAUGGAGUUGCAGAUAUGAGUGCAAUCUACAAAGCCGUUGAGGCUGAUCCUCAUGGGAGGAUUAUUGCACCAGGACCCUUAGCACUUUUAAAAUGCCAUUCAAUGCCACUUCUAGGGCUAGAUGUAAACUGCAUAUGACCAUGUUGUGGUAGUUACCAUGGAUACCCAAGUGAUGUGUGAGCUAACACAUAGGCCCAACAGAUUCCAAGAAGGCCAGAAUUACCAACGGCACCACCAUCGGUUGUCAGGUUACCCGGAUUCAGCAAAUACCAGAGUCCAAAAUGAUGCAGGUUUAUACUGUUAAUUUACAGUUUAUCGUUACAGUUGGUGUUAUUCCAUGUCGGAAGGGACGCAGCUACAGCCAGUGGGGUAACUAGAGACAGGCAGGCAGCUAUGUGCAACAAAGGUAGGCGUGUUGUUUUCAUAUGCAGAUCUGAAAUAUUGUCUUAUAUGCAAGAGGAGGAGUGAUGGGGGUUCAGGCAAAAGCCAGGCUAUGGAUUGCAUUGCUAAAUGCUCCAUCAGAGUGCAAUGGUCUCCUGUCCUUUUUUUAAGUGAUGAUGUGGGUUUAGCCUGUGCUGUAUGUAUGUAUGUAUGGGUGGCUGACUGCCACCCACCCAGAGAGUGUAUGGGAGGCUGGUUGGCUGCCAGCCUUCCUUCGAUUCCUAUGAGUAAUGUGAGUGCUCUUGAAGGGGACAUGGUCGGGUCCACCCCUUUCCCGGUUAUCCCCUCUAGGCCUUUUGGCUUAGAUCAAGUGUAAAAAAAAGAAAGGAUCUUGCGACAGAUCGCAUCCUCAGGCACGUUUUUUUUGUGUGAAUACUUGCACUUGGGUGACUUGUGAGCACAUACUGAUACGUUCCCUAUUUGGGGACCAUAAAUUAAAUGGAUUUUUGAGAAAGGGAGCUGAUUUGGAAGCUUGCUUCCGUCGCCCUAUGCAUUGACCCGAUGUGGCAGUAUCUUCGGGUAGUGAACAGUGCACCACCCCAUUCCAGUGUUAAACAAGAAAGAUUCUCAUUUAAUCCUCCGUGGGUGAGAAUUUGAGUUUGAGAAUUGGAGACCAAAAUGAUGAGUUCCACUGACUGGUUUAUGAACGUUUAUUCAUUUAGCGUUUUAAUGACCAUGUUUGCACACUGAUUGGUGUAAAAAAAUAAAAUAAAACUAAAUAAUAAUAAUCUAGCACAACUGUGCAGGUUUGACAUGACAUGACAGGUAGCUGUCUUGUGGGUAGUGCUGAAUCCUGUUAAAUGACGUGAGGGUCUCAUGCCUAUACACAAGGGUGUGUCAUUGCUGUUGCUUGACCAUGCAUUGGUUUCUGUGGUUAGUGAAUGAUAAAAACAAAAUUUACCAUCCAUUGAUGGAUGGGAAAUCCGCCAUGAGGCAUUUGAUUUUAGAAACUGCUGCUCACAACCAAUGUUGCAAUGGAGUGUCUCCAUCUGCUGGUGGUAUUGGAAAGGCAUUAGUGCUAUGACAGGGUCUGAAGAAGAAGAAGAAGACGGAAAAAAAUAUAUAUAAAAAGAAAAAGAGAGAGAGAGAGAGAGAGAGACUGCCUUAGUGAGCGAGUGAUUGAGAGAGUGAGAGUGAGUGAGAGUGAAUAAGUGAGUGAGUGAUUGAGUGAGUAAGUGAGUGAGUGAGUGAGAACAAAUGAAUUAAAGCAAGUGAGUGAGUAAGAUCGAAUGAAUGAAAGUCUGAAUGACAGAAAGAAAAAAGGAUGAAGAAAGAAGCAUGAAGAAAAAAAAAUGUAUAUGGAGUUGCAGAUAUGAGUGCAAUCUACAAAGCCGUUGAGGCUGAUCCUCAUGGGAGGAUUAUUGCACCAGGACCCUUAGCACUUUUAAAAUGCCAUUCAAUGCCACUUCUAGGGCUAGAUGUAAACUGCAUAUGACCAUGUUGUGGUAGUUACCAUGGAUACCCAAGUGAUGUGUGAGCUAACACAUAGGCCCAACAGAUUCCAAGAAGGCCAGAAUCACCAGCGGCACCACCAUCGGUUGUCAGGUUACCCAGAUUCAGCAAAUACCAGAGUCCAAAAUGAUGCAGGUUUAUACUGUUAAUUUUCAGUUUAUCGUUACAGUUGGUGUUAUUCCAUGUCGGAAGGGACGCAGCUACAGCCAGUGGGGUAACUAGAGACAGGCAGGCAGCUAUGUGCAACAAAGGAUUUUUCACAAGGAAAGGAUGCGAGUUACCACAAAAAUUUUCCACCAUGUUAAAGUAGAAUAUGUCACGAAAAAACUAUCUCGGAAUCAGAAUGAUAACUAAAAGCAUUCCAGAGUUCUUAAUGUUUAAAGUGACAGUGGUCAGAUGUGCAAAAAACGCUCUGGUCCUUAAGGCCAAAAUGGGCUUGGUCCUGAAGGGGUUAAUAAACAGAUGGAAAAACAGUUUGAGAUUUGGGAGAAGGAAAUGGCGGAAAUAAAGAGUAAGAAGCUAGCAAGGGAUAUGAAUGAUGUCCAGAUGAAACGUGUAUAUAAAUGGCAACGUCCGUCGGGAGACAGGGGACGACAGAGAUCUGCCUCCAUCUCCUCAUUAUCCUCGGCGGGUGAAAACUCGGAGAACCCACGCAGAUUAUAUGGAUCUAACCAACGACAUAAAAGAAAGAAGACUGAGUUUGUCUCUCAAUCUAAGAAGCGGUCUGAGGCUCCUCCCACAACAAGCAAUACUCCUGCUGAUACCUUACAGCUUUCGACAAGUUUGCGGCAAUAAAGGAUUUGCAUCUAUUUGGACGUGAUCUUCUUUUUAAAAAAUGGCAUCACAAGACAGACGAGUCAUUGGGCCUUACAUCCCCUGAGGAGAGACAAGCUCUUAAUGAUUUACAAGAUUUACUAUCUGAACAAGAGAUUCCAGCUGAAUAUGAGGCUAAUCUGAAGUCACUGCUGGAUACAGCGGUUUAAUCAUCAGUGAUAUCAAGGAAACUGGCAGAUGUACUCCAGAUAUCACAUCCGACAAUAUCGACUCUCUAUCUAUUGUCAAAGGUUCACAAGCACGCUUCUAGACCACCAGGAAGGCCGAUCAUUUCGGGCACAGGAUUGAUGGCAUUCAAUUGGAACCAGAUACUCUUCUUGUUACAUGUGAUGUGGAAUCGCUGUAUACUAGCAUCAACCAUACGGACGGAUUGUCAGCAUCAAGAUUCUUUUUAGCGUGAUCCAAUGGGAUAUUUGCACUCGGAUGUAUUUCGCAAGAGGACCUCAGUCAAUUCUUAUUUACACGCUACAUCAUCUCAUUCGACACAUACUGUGAGAGCUAUACCAUAUGGCCAGUACCUACGUGCUCGGCGUAAUUGCUCCUCGGAACAAGCCUUCAAGAGACAAGCUGACGACUUAAGAGGACACAAAUGUAAAUAGGAGAUUGCUCUCUAUAUUGAUGUCUACAUACUCAGGACUUUGGACUUGGGACUCAUAGAUGCCAUUUUACCAUGUUAAUUUUCUUUUCUUCUUAUUUUUGGAUAUGGGUCGGUGUCUUAUAAAUUUUGAAUAUUUUGGUUAAUUUACUUUUAUUAGUUUUUAUUUCUAGAAUGUAUGUGCUGGGUACAAUAUAUGGGUUUAUAUACUGUAGUUAGGUGAGCUAUAUGGGGAUUAUGUGCACUAUAUACACAUUUUACCUCACCAGCACUAAUUAGUUUUUCUCACUGCCUCUUCUUCCCCCUCCCUUUUCACUUUUUUCACAUUUGCAUUUUAUUUGUCAUUUU